CCUACCCAUACAGUCUGACAAGUGUGGAUGUUGUAUCACAUGUAUAUCAGGAAGUGGCAGAGAGGAAACAGGCUAUGUCUACCCUCAAUAUUCUGACCUAUGAACAUCUGAAAAACCAGUAGCUUA
Molecule: small nucleolar RNA, 126 nt
Filed under: Mus pahari (shrew mouse)
Lineage: Eukaryota; Metazoa; Chordata; Mammalia; Rodentia; Muridae
Description: predicted gene, 24345 (MGP_PahariEiJ_G0034858.1)
Rfam family: Small nucleolar RNA SNORA17
About the family: snoRNA ACA 17 belongs to the H/ACA family of snoRNAs and is predicted to guide pseudouridylation of the 28S rRNA at positions U4659 and U4598. It shares the same host gene together with ACA43. NB This family has a high threshold value to exclude a large number of closely related sequences that do not appear to have conserved H and ACA boxes, and may be pseudogenes.
Source: RNAcentral